CUCCCAUCAGCCUGAUACGGGCCUGCACCGAAAUUCACCGAAACUAUUUACAGGGAGUCCCCACCAUGACACGAGACACCGAACAUCGAGCACCUGGCACCGGAGCUGCAGUGUGCAUACACCCAGAGAUGAGGAGAAAUGUGAGGGUAAAAAAAAGUCCGGUUCUACUGAUGGAGACUUUUAAUUAUUUUACCUGACAAGCGUUCUGCAGAAAGAUGUGGAAGAAGAAAACUGGGAAAAUUUCGAUCAGAGGAAGCCGCCCAAAGGAUCAUAAUCCAGGAUUUCUUUAAACAAGUAAACUGCAGAGGAAAAGUUUUGCUGUGAGUCUGCCUGCCUGGAGGCGAGGGACUGCAACACAUCCAGGAGUUCGCCAACAAACAAACGGAAGCAAUUAAACACACUCGCCUUCAGAUCAUCAAUGAGGAGGCAAAGUCAAGGCUGGUGGAAAAACCAACAAGGGCAAUUGUAAGACAGAAGAAGACUCUGCUGCCUCAAGGUUAAACUGUGUUAAGAGCCCAACACCACACAUCUAGAGGAUUCUUGCUUCUUCUACACACACACAUAGUUUAUUUUUAUUUUUACAUUAAACAUUCUUAUUUUACAACCUUGACAUUUCCAUUUAAAUUGAUGUUAUAUUUUGGUGUCUUUUAUAUGUUUUCACCCUUUCUUCUCUGCCACCACACUGUCCUGUAAGUAAUCAAAAAAUAAAAUAAAGACUAUCAUGGUCAAACCAU
Eleginops maclovinus (Patagonian blennie) is the source of this 734-nucleotide long non-coding RNA. RefSeq lists it as uncharacterized. The record is from RefSeq and is a predicted model, not a curated record. The transcript is spliced from 3 exons. Lineage: Eukaryota; Metazoa; Chordata; Actinopteri; Perciformes; Eleginopidae.